GUCCGAUAAAACUCCAGCAUGUUAAUCUCUGCCUCAGAGUCACCUAACCUGCAACAUCCCUCGUAUCCUGCUGAGCAUGGGUUCAAGUGAUUCUGCCGUGAAGCAUUGCUUAGAAUCUGUCCUAGAUUUGUCUUCUAAACUCAGCACCAAAAGCUAUGUGAACUUGAGAACUUUAAUUUUGCUGGGGUCAUCAAUGUGGCAAACUAAAAAGUACACUUUCCAGCACUCCUUCCAGAUGGGAGACCGUGCUACAUCGUUGUGGCAAGAGAGAUGUAAGUAGAAAGGCUGGAUGGAUGAAGCAGCCAAGAAAACUUUUAAAAGGGAAAUAGAUUCACAAGAAAUAUACCCUUUUAUUCUGACCUAUUUGUUUUCCUGACUGGGAAAGUCAUGCGAUACUCGAGAUAGAGAAUUUUGCAACAAGGCAACCACGUGAAACAGGACAAGAGAUUAAUAGAGACUUUGCCUCUAAUACCAUUGAGCCCCUGAAUCAAUGUCUGCAAGCACCAAACUCUAGACCCCAGACUUUCCAUAAUGGGAAGAAAGUAAAACCUUCAUUUUGUUGAAGGCAUUAUUUUUUGGUGUUUCUAUCAUUACGGAGAAAAGCAUUACCAGCUGAUAUUCCACUGACUAAGCCAAACGUACAGGUAUCCUCCAUCGAUAUUUCUUGUUAUGAGAGACAGUAGGUCUUCACGAACUUUAAGCAAAUUGAAGUCUGAAUGUUAUUUUAGUGACAGAUAAAAAGUACCCUAAAUGACAUAUUCUCUUAAAAGCUAUCAAAAACGUACAGGGGUAGGACACUAAAUUGUUUUAGACUAUCAUCUGUUAGAUUUUCUGUAUAUAUAUAUGUGUAUAUCAAUGGCUUCUAAUCAAAUGUGGUCAGGGAAAGCAGAUAAACCAGUAUGUUGAUACUUCAUAGCAUUUAUUUCAGCUUUUUAAUAUUUCCCUUGUAAAGUAAAGUAUCUCUUGGGUUUUUUUCUCAUCUUUUUUGAAAAUUAAUAAGACUUUAAUUUUUAGAGAAAGUUUAGGUUUACAAAAAAAUGAGCAGAUAAUAAAGAGAUUUCCCGUAUGCUCCCUCUCUCCCCUGCUCGCAGUUCCCCCUGUUAUCAAUACCCUGAAUUACUGUGCUAUAUUUGUUACAAUUGAUGAACCAAUAUUGAUAUGUUAUUAUUAGCUAAAGUCCAUAGUUUACAGUAGGGUUUAUUCCUUGGGUACAAUUCAAUGGGUUUUGACAAAUGCUUAAUAUCAUGCAUUCACUAUUGCAGUGUCAUACAGAAUAAUUCCACUGCCCUAAAAAUACCCUUUACUCCAGCUAUUCAUCGCUCUCCUCCUCCUCCAGACCCCUGGCAACCACUGAUCAUUUGACUAUUGCUACAGUUUUGCCUUUUCCAGAAUGCCAUAUAGUUGGAUUCAUACAGCAUGUAGCC
This 1424-nucleotide long non-coding RNA is filed under the name Equus caballus (horse). RNAcentral's name for it is "lncRNA (ENSECAG00000045076.1)". The record is from RNAcentral. Lineage: Eukaryota; Metazoa; Chordata; Mammalia; Perissodactyla; Equidae.